RNAcentral lists this ribosomal RNA (253 nucleotides) under uncultured bacterium. RNAcentral describes it as "partial 16S ribosomal RNA". It matches the Rfam family "Bacterial small subunit ribosomal RNA", at positions 524 to 776 of the family's 1533-position model. The record is from RNAcentral.
UACGUAGGGUGCGAGCGUUAAUCGGAAUUACUGGGCGUAAAGCGUGCGCAGGCGGCUUUGCAAGACAGAUGUGAAAUCCCCGGGCUCAACCUGGGAACUGCAUUUGUGACUGCAAGGCUAGAGUACGGCAGAGGGGGAUGGAAUUCCGCGUGUAGCAGUGAAAUGCGUAGAUAUGCGGAGGAGCACCAAUGGCGAAGGCAAUCCCCUGGGCCCGUACUGACGCUCAUGCACGAAAGCGUGGGGAGCAAACAGG